GGCUGGGGGCGCGCGCGCGCGCCCGUGCCCGGACCGUCCGCCGCGGCCGCUCGCUCUCCCGUCUCCCGCCUCGUGCCACCGUCUGGGUCAGCCCCCUCGGCCCUUCCGCCCGCCUCCAGCCGCCGGCCCGCAGAAGCAGACCUGGAGAUAAGGAUUCAGGUGCAAGUGGCAUAUAUGCAAGGUGACUCCAUGAAGCACUGGUGAGAGAGUGGAGAAGUGAAGCAAGGAAAGAAAGACGGUCAGAGGGGCAUUCAUGAGUGUUUAGCACCGUGGACAGCCCAUUGGAGAACUCUGGGGGUGCCUCAGCAUUACUGCCCUCUUUCCCUGAGGGCUAAGAGGCUCAUCUUGUAUAUAUCCUGCCCCAGAUCUGGAAGCAGCCAUUUCUCUUCAGUUCCUUACAGUUGGGAGUGUUGUUUGGAGACCACGAAAUCUGGAUACAGGGAUUCCUGAUUGUCAUGAAGCUCGCCUCCAAGAGUGAUUCUGGUACCCAGGAUCCUUGCUCCUUGUGACUCUGCCACCUUACAUCAUGGCUUUGAAGAUCCUCAUGUUUAUCUGCAUCAAUCUAGAAGAGUAAAAAUCAUGAAGAAUAUCCAAGAAGAUUUUUAUAAGCCAAGUCUGGAAGUGGCACACAUCCCUUCUGCUCACAUUCUAUUGGUUAGAACCCAGCUCAUGGCUACACCUACCAGAAAGGGUCUGGGAAGUAUAGUCUAGCUGUUGGUACAGGAAGAUAAACAAGCUUUGAGGAACACAGAGCAGUCUCCCAAUCUUGUACAAAGCUGAGAAAUUGUCACAAUUACGUGAUUUUUAGCCCCAUGCAAGAGCUUGAGAAUGGGAAUAAACUGAGGACCAAUUUUAUAAAAUA
RNA transcript from Canis lupus familiaris (dog), 862 nucleotides. It is a transcript of the gene named translation initiation factor IF-2-like, with no coding region annotated. NCBI's taxonomy places the organism in Eukaryota, Metazoa, Chordata, Mammalia, Carnivora, Canidae. The transcript is spliced from 4 exons. The record is from RefSeq and is a predicted model, not a curated record.